This 431-nucleotide ribosomal RNA is filed under the name uncultured bacterium. RNAcentral's name for it is "bacterial SSU rRNA". It matches the Rfam family "Bacterial small subunit ribosomal RNA", at positions 958 to 1392 of the family's 1533-position model. The record is from RNAcentral.
AACGCGAAGAACCUUACCAAGGCUUGACAUACACAGGAAUACGGCAGAGAUGUCGUAGCCGCAAGGUCUGUAUACAGGUGGUGCAUGGUUGUCGUCAGCUCGUGUCGUGAGAUGUUGGGUUAAGUCCCGCAACGAGCGCAACCCUCGUCCUGUGUUACCAGCAUUUAGUUGGGGACUCACAGGAGACUGCCGGGGUCAACUCGGAGGAAGGUGGGGAUGACGUCAAAUCAUCAUGCCCCUUAUGUCUUGGGCUGCACGCAUGCUACAAUGGCUGGUACAAAGAGCUGCAAUACCGCAAGGUGGAGCGAAUCUCAAAAAGCCAGUCUCAGUUCGGAUUGGGGUCUGCAACUCGACCCCAUGAAGUCGGAGUUGCUAGUAAUCGUAGAUCAGCAACGCUACGGUGAAUACGUUCCCGGGUCUUGUACACACCG